UAUCUCUGUAGAGUCUGCAUAUCAAUAAGCGGAGGAAAAGAAACUAACAAGGAUUCCCUUAGUAACGGCGAGUGAAGCGGGAAGAGCUCAAAUUUGAAAUCUUCAAGGUUCUACCUUGACGAAUUGUAGUUUAUAGAAGUGUUUUCUGUUAGUAGAGUGGUAAAAGUUCUUUGGAAUAGGACAUCAUAGAGGGUGAGAAUCCCGUAGUUUGGUCAUUCCUCCUAGCUUUGUGAUACACUUUCAACGAGUCGGAUUGUUUGGGAAUGCAGUCCAAAAUGGGUGGUAAAUUUCAUCUAAAGCUAAAUAUUGGCGAGAGACCGAUAGCGAACAAGUACCGUGAGGGAAAGAUGAAAAGAACUUUGAAAAGAGAGUUAAACAGUACGUGAAAUUGUCAAAAGGGAAGCGUUUGACACCAGUGUUGUUUUUCCGAAAAUCAAUUACGAAUGUUUUGUUUUUGAGAAGUUAUGACUUCAUCGGCUUGCUUCUCUCUUUACGAAACUUUCUUAAUGCACUUUUCGGUUAACAAGUCAACAUCAAUUUCUUUUGUUGUAAAAGGGUAUGAGGAAGGUGGCUUUCUUUUCGGAGAAAGUGUUUAUAGCCUUGUACCUCUGCAAUCGGAGAGAUUGAGGUCUGCAGCGUAGAUCCUUCGGGGUUAGAUACAUUUGUGCUAAGUUAUAGCUUUUCAUAGACAACUUGUUGACUAUGUUAAGUCUUGUAGCUUACUCGCUUAUGCUAUUUUACCUACGCUUAGGAUGUUGAUAUGCAUGACUGAUAU
Molecule: ribosomal RNA, 775 nt
Filed under: uncultured Neocallimastigales
Lineage: Eukaryota; Fungi; Neocallimastigomycota; Neocallimastigomycetes; Neocallimastigales
Description: partial large subunit ribosomal RNA
Rfam family: Eukaryotic large subunit ribosomal RNA
Source: RNAcentral